RNAcentral lists this transfer RNA (65 nucleotides) under Bemisia afer. RNAcentral's name for it is "tRNA-Trp". The record is from RNAcentral. Lineage: Eukaryota; Metazoa; Arthropoda; Insecta; Hemiptera; Aleyrodidae.
AAAAUUUUAAGUUAAACUAAACUAAUAAUUUUCAAAAUUAUAAAUAAAUAAAAGUUUAAAUUUUA